ACCUUGUUCUAACCUGAUUCACAACAAACCAGUGAAUGAAAGUGAUGAAACACCAUGUUAUUCAACAGAAAUUAUAACCCUUGGUGACAGGUUUGAGGAAGAGUGGACCUGCUUAAAUGUGAUAAGAUUGGUACCAAACGCCUCACAAGAAGGUGCCCGAGAACAGAAAAACUGUACACGCUACCCCUUCACUCUUUUUAUCUGUGUUUCCAUCAUAUCUUUUCAGUCCAAAAUCCCUGAAGACCUGCUCCCCUUAUCGGCCGAAAUGUCAAUAACGGAGUAUUGCCAAACAUGCACAGCAUGAAGAGGAAAACUGGAGCUAUGUUCACCUACAUCCAACUUCUGAGUUUGCUUUGCAUUCAGUAUGCAGUUUCAGCACAAAUUCAGGUAGACAUUCCGGACUUGAACACUGGACCGGGGGAAGAGGUAAGUUGUCUCUGACUUUAAGGUCUGUGUUAACAACAGAGUUUGACAUUGACUUCUUUUGCUCACUGAUCACUCUCACUGAUCACUGGGGUUGGUGGUUCAGCCUUUCUACUAGCCACAGUUCUGUUAUCACUUCUCUAUUUCUUUACCUGCAUCUGAGCUGAAGUAAGAUGAAGCGGUGAGAAAAAAAACAUGAAAACAGGAACUGGGAUGAGAAAGGAGCUUCUUCUUCAAUUUAAAUACAAACAACUAAUUAAUGCAGGCAACAGAGGACAGGCCACGGUCUGUGACAUACCCAAGAAUAGCCCCGUUUGGCCUGUAUGUGGCCAACAUGUGACUGGUUGUCAGGUGCCAAUGUCAGACCCUGAUUAAAAACUUAUGUGUGCCACUGAAGGGCUUAAAUGCAGAUAGCCUACCAAAUUUUACAUAAAGGCCAUAUAGAGUAAAACGCUACAGUAGGCCUAUAUGCUUAUUAAAAUAUUGUUGCACUGCAUUAGUUUUUUAUUACUGUAUUCCUACAAAUAUGUCAGAAAUUGAAACAUAUUUCAGUCCAUUCACAUCAGUCCUGCCUAUACUUUCAAAGAUGUUGCAGUUGGUUGUGAGAGUCAUGCAUGAUUUUAUAAAGAAAUUAAAAAGGGAAACAAGAUGUAGCGUUUGUUUAAAAAAAAAAAACAUUUACAGCAAUGGUGGCCUUCAUAGGGGAAGUAAAUGUGUUUUUCAUAAACAACUCUCAACUUAGACGCAUGUCUUCACCACCACUCUGGGUGAGGAGGAGCAGGAGAUAUUUCAGUUCCCUCUUCUGAACAAACAAACUUCUCACUUCAUUUAUAAUUUUUAACAUAU
Long non-coding RNA from Engraulis encrasicolus (European anchovy), 1269 nucleotides. RefSeq lists it as uncharacterized. Lineage: Eukaryota; Metazoa; Chordata; Actinopteri; Clupeiformes; Engraulidae. The record is from RefSeq and is a predicted model, not a curated record. The transcript has 3 exons.